RNAcentral lists this long non-coding RNA (1276 nucleotides) under Durio zibethinus. Its description in RNAcentral is "long non-coding RNA (DZIB_LNC001118)". The record is from RNAcentral. Lineage: Eukaryota; Viridiplantae; Streptophyta; Magnoliopsida; Malvales; Malvaceae.
UGUUCAUUCAUUGCAUACAUUCAUUGCAUAUGUUUAGAAAGUAAGAAAAAGAAAAUUGAUGUUAAAUGAAUUUGAAAAGAGACAUUAGAAGAUGAUCAAUAAUAAUCCAGUUGAGAUGAAAGAAAUUGCUUUAAGUAAGAAUUUUUUAAAGUUUCAAUGCCUUCAUUAAAAAUGAGCUUUUUAAAAAAUGAGAGUGAUCUAUAAAAUCUUAGGGCAUGAUCUUAAAAAUCCCAACUUUGAUUUUUCAAAAACUUCAAACCCCUAAUGGGGGAGCACUUCAAAUUUUCAAAAGUUUCAAAACCCUAGUAAGGGAGCACUUUAAAUUUUCAAAUUUUUUCAAAGCCUUAAAUAGGGGUAGAUUUAUUUUUCAAAAGUUUCGAAACCCUAGUGAAUGAGCAUUUUAUUUUUCAAAAAGUUUCAAAGCCUCCGAUGAGUUAGCAUUUAAUUUUCCAAAGUUUCAAAGCCCUGGUGGGGGAGCAUUUAUUUUUCAAAAGUUUUAAAACCUUUAGUGGAAAGACCAUUUUAUUUUUCAAAAGUUUCAAAGGCUCUGGUGGGGGGAGAGCAUUUUAUUUUCAAAGUUUCAAAGACUCUAGUGAGGGGAGCAUUUUACAUUAUCAAAGUUUCAAAACCUCUGGUAAAAAGAGCCUUUUAGAUUUUUUCAUCAGGGUGCGCAGGUCUGGAACCCUAUACAAAGGGCGUUUCCUUUCAAAUGACAACUGCCUCUUCCUGCUGCGAGGGCGUUGCACGAAAGCAAACCGCCCCCCCGCCCGAUCAACUACCAGUUGCUUCGCAGGUAGGCCCGCGUAGGUUAGGGGGGCAUUGUCCCUCAGUUCUUACCAACCUCCGGUGUGGAAUCGACAUGUUGCUAGCUUCAACUCGGUUGAAUAAGAAUCAUUGAUUCUCUCUGUUGUCCAUUUCUUAUUCAUUCAGGGCGCUCGACUUAAAAGUUUCAAAGUCUCUGUUGAGGAAGAACCUUUUUUUAUUUUUCUUAUCUCAAACAAAAUGGAUGUCUUCUGUCUUUGUAUAAUUCAUAUUUCAUAAAAAAUGUGCAAAAAGAGAUAGCUAUAAACACCUAAUUUUGUUUAAGGUCUUUUUGAUAUUAUUGGGUUUUGAAUUGUAUUAUUGGGUUUUAAAAACUAGGGUCUUGAAUUGUAUUAUUGGGUUUUAAAAACUAUUUUUUUUAAAUCCAAAUUUAAAUCUCAAAAGUAUUUUUUAUUUUGUUAAAAUAAUAACAUAAAUUGUGAUUUUAUUUAGAUUUAAAAUUAAAGAUUGAGUU